Molecule: small nucleolar RNA, 120 nt
Filed under: Echinops telfairi (small Madagascar hedgehog)
Lineage: Eukaryota; Metazoa; Chordata; Mammalia; Afrosoricida; Tenrecidae
Description: Small nucleolar RNA SNORA61 (ENSETEG00000024415.1)
Source: RNAcentral
GCCCUCCACAGUCCGCCCCCUCAGAUCUCAAUACGGGUCUGAGUGGUUAAAAAAGGAGGAAAAGUACAACUGAAGUGGACUUGGAGUCUUUCAUAACAUACAAGUUCAUUUCAAACAUAA